CUAAUAUAAUAUUUUUUAAUAAGACAAAAGUAAACAAGCAAGAUCCAUAGAUAUAUUAUUACAUUGAUCUCUUAAUGCAUAUUCUUGCAUUAACAGCUGCCAUAAACACUAAAGCAUCUAAAUGACAACACUUUAAACAACCACUAGCCAGUUAAGUAGCCCCUGCUUAUUACUGGAAAUUGCACAACUUCUUUUAACUAAUUAAACAAAUUCAUAUGUUUAACAGGGUAACACACAAGUGGAUGAGCCAUUUCAGCCGCAAAUCCAGAUCCUGGGCUCAAAUCAACCUUGUCACCUUCCUCAACUUUCCAAUCAAAGCACUGAACCAAUGCUCCUACUGCUGCAUGCAUCACCAACAUAGCGAUUGAAGCUCCAGGGCAUCCUCUUCUUCCACUCCCAAAUGGAAGGUAACGAAAGUUCUGUCCCUUAAAUUCCAUUUGAUGCUCUCCAAUCUUCUCCUUAGAGCUUUCCAUGAAUCUUUCGGGCAUGAACUCAUCUGGGUUUGUCCACGACUCUGGAUCCCUCAUGACUGCAUAUACAUUUACAAGAACUCUAGUUUUGGCCUUGACCAUGGAACCAUUUACCUUGCAGUCUUCUGCACAUUCUCUGAUGAUUAAGGGUGCUGAUGGGUGAAGUCUUAGGGUUUCCCUGAUGACUGCCCGAAGGUAGGGGAGAUUUUGGACGUCGGAUUCUUUGAUUAGCCUGUUGUUCCCUACAACUGUAUUGAUUUCAUCUCUAAGCUUGUUGAAUGCUCUUGGACAGUUGAUGAGCUCUCCCAUGGCCCAUUGCAUGGCUGCUGAUGUUGUGUCUGUGCCGGCAAAGAAUAUAUCAAGCAAGAAAGACUUGAUGUCAUUUUUGGAUAAUCUAAUUUCAGCAGCAGGAUCAUUAUAUAUCUCCAACAAAAUGUCCAUCAAAUCUUUCCUUUCCCCAACAGCACCUUUGACGGCCUUCUCUUCAUGUUCCGUAAUUAUCCUCUCCACCAAUCGAUCAUACUUCUUCAAAGCCCCAACCAGCUUCUUCCCAGUCGAAGAGAAAUCAAAAAUCUUGAGAGGACCUAAAAUAUCUCCGACACUAAGCUUCCCUGCAAGCGCUAAACAAGUCUUGAUCAACUGCUUAAUCUCCUCCGCAUCAUUAUCGCUUCCUGAGCACCUUGUGCUCAUAGCCAUCCUACAAAUAGUAUUAUUUGUGUAAAUAGUGAAUUCACUACUCAAAUCGCAGAGUUUUCCUUCUUUAGCACAACUCAUCACCGAUUCCACGAGCUUCACCUUUUCUUGGUCACGUAUAUCAGUGAACUUAUCGAGUUGAGGAACAGCUAGAAGCCUUGUCAUGCAAAGCUUCUUCAUGAACCUCCAGUAGUCACCAUAUUGAGCAGUGACAAAUCUUGAUCCCCUGUAGAUGAAAUAUUCAGAGGAGCCAAAUUCAGGUCGAGAAGAGAAAUUGAGUUCUUGGGUCUUGAAGAUUUCUUUGGCCACAGCAGCAUUGGAGGCAAUAACACAUGUUGCUGCGCCUAGACGGAUCUGCAUCAGUGGACCAUAGUGGCGAGCUAGGUCUUGGAAAGACUUGGGUAGGACGGAGCCGAUGAGAUGGAGGUGGCCGAUAAGAGGUAGAGCUGGAGGGCUGGGCGGCAGGUGGACUUGGCAAGCAGGUUUCAAGAAUGUUUUGAUGAAGUAGUGGACUAGAAAGGCAGUGAAGAACCACACAAAGAAGAGAAGGUAAUAGAACAUGUCGGCAAGGGCAAAUGGUGAA
RNAcentral lists this unclassified non-coding RNA (1746 nucleotides) under Hevea brasiliensis (rubber tree). The record is from RNAcentral. Lineage: Eukaryota; Viridiplantae; Streptophyta; Magnoliopsida; Malpighiales; Euphorbiaceae.